GUGCUCACUUCUGCAGCACAUUUACUAAAACUGGAAUGAAACAGAGAAGAUUAGCAUGCCCCUGCACAAGGGUGGCAUGUAAAUUCAUGAAGCAUUCCAUAUUUUU
Molecule: small nuclear RNA, 106 nt
Organism: Acomys russatus (golden spiny mouse)
Lineage: Eukaryota; Metazoa; Chordata; Mammalia; Rodentia; Muridae
Source: RefSeq, a predicted model, not a curated record